AGCGCCGAGCCGCGCCGGGCAGGGUCCCCGCGGGCUGCGGGAGCCCGCCUCGCUCGGCGCCCACCGCCGGGGCUGCCAGGCCCCGCCGCCCCGCACAGCGCCCUCCCCGGCCACUGGCGCCGCUCACCGCGCCGGGCCACAGCCGCCGUUGCUGGCCGGCCGCUGGCCCCGCAGCUCCGGCGGCGGCGGGGCUCCCCGCGCUCCCGCCAUAAGCGCGGCCUGUCCCCGGGGGAACAAAGACGCGGCGGGGCUGGGGCGGGCUCCGCCGCGGGCCAGCGGCCGGCGGGACGCUCUGGGCGAGGCGCCGGCCCCGGGGCGGGCUCGGCUGCUGAGGGGCCGGCGCGCGGCCGCGGGGACCGUUAGUGCGCGCGAGGGCGGGGGUCGGGGCGCGAGCGGUCGCUGCCCGCCCUGACUGGAAGAGACAGGGACGGGCGAGGGACGGGGCCACCACGCCGGGCUCCUUCUGGCCACUUCUCAGCCACGGUCGCCCACGGGCCGCAGCCCCAGUUCCUCCCCGUCCAGGCGGGCAUUGAGCUGAAGCCCCGGGCUCCAGCGGCUCCCUCCAGCUGCGAUUUGACACGGCCUUUCAUGAACAAACAGGAACGCACACCCCGCCGUGUCUUCCCCGCAGACCGGCCUGUUGUUCGCAUCAGCCCGUGAGCUCCCUCUGCAGCCCCCGCGCCAGCAGGACACUCCAACAGCUCCCUUGGAUGCCUCCGUAAAGACGGCACAUUCCUGCAGAAGAGACCCCUGCUGCAUUUCCGCAAGACACAGGAUGACAGACACGACGAUUUAUCAUCCUGCCGAGCACCUUCAAAAACCCUGUGCCCUUUGAAAGUGGUCACCCAGAACUGAUCAUCUUCACUGUGAAAUGAAGAAUAGCUAAGGUCUAGUGCCCUGCUGAGCUGAAUGAGGAGCCUGUGAGCUGCUGCAUGUUUGUGAAGCUACGAAGGCCUUGAAAGGAGCCAGAGCAGAGCCAACAGGUACCCAGUUUGUAAGAUGGGGCAGUGAACACUCAUCCACCUGUGAAACUCACUGGAAUGGUUACAAAGUCCUGGAAGAACACAACAUGUGUCAUUAGCAGAAAUAACAAAGAAAAGUAGAAAUACGAACAACUGCCCGAAGUGGGUUUUUGUCACACCACACCAGGCAACGUGCUUCAGUUGCCUUGCACAGGGGCACAAGGGACAACACAGGCUCUGGGGUCCCACAUGGGAGACAACUCUGGCUUCAACAAGAGGGAAGACGACCCUUCAGAGGCAGAUCUUCCAACAGAGAGGCUCAAGCAAAAGAGGGAGGUGUAGGCACUGCUGGGCCAGCCGGAGUACCCUGCACUCAUGCCUGCACUCUGAAUCAUGCUAAGCAAUUCACUUGUCUGUCCUACAACUAAACCUCCUUUGGUGCUUUUCUUCAGGUAUUUUAUUGGGUUGAUUGGGAGCAUGAUCUGGCUGUCAUUUCUGAAGGAGAGGGAUGAUUAUCACUGCAUAUAUGACAGGGCUUUUCCAAUCACAGACCAUGCAUACCCGUCUACUCUGCUUGGAUAACGUACAAAGACUUAAUACAUUCAAGCCACGCCUGAGCAAAGUUUACAGCACAAAUAACUGGUAGGGAGUGGUACAGCUAUGGGUUUUCCAAGGCAAGUGUCUGUCACUGAGGCAACAAGGAUUGAUGGGAAACUAUGAGAAAUGAGAUAAAGGCAGGUGAGAAGCAGUAGGAAGGUGGCCAAAAGACACGAAUAGAGAAGGAGGCUAGGUUAGGCCAACAUUAACAAUUAUCAUGAAAAUAAAAAUUAAUACAAAGGACUAAUACAGUGAGGGGUAUGCUUCUGAUGGAGAAGUGCUGGACUAGACAAAGAGGAUCAUGAAGCCAGAAGACAUCCUAUUUUUCUCCCAACAGUUUCUAUAUACACAUGCAAAUAUAGACACACAUACAGAGCUAGGCAACAGGCUGUGAGCACAUUCCUCCUUGCGUCUUAAAUAGACAAAGGAGAAAGUGGGGAAUUGAUGGGUAAAUGGACACAAGGCACAGCACUGCAACACCUACCCAUCUGCCUCUCUUCCCCUAUAUACACCGUCCUACCCUCCUGCUUCUACAAAUCUCCAGCUCAACUGCCUUAAAAGAAGCCCUGGGAUCUGAUAUGCUGACCACAUUUUCAAGAUGUGUCUGCAUACAAUAUUUUAUGUCUCCUCCUUUGUCUGAAUAUACAAAUGUCAGUUGUACAAAGAGCCACCGCAUGCGCAGCUGGACGCACACAAGAGGCAGAAAACUCAAGUCUUUAACUGAUCUACCAAACAGAAUCAAGAAUGUAUUUCCCUGUCCCAGCUUCUAUAAACAUGUGCAGUAAGAAGUAUCUUUGUUUUGUAAUGAUAACCAGCUUGUGUCAGGGUACAAUAUUCAGUUGUGAUAAUGGUAAAAACACUGUGGAAGUGAGUAUAAAUACAGAAAUAGGCUUUUUAUGCAAAACUUAUUUCUACUAAACUUUUUUCCCAUAUGCAAAAAUCACAAGUUUGGAAGAGAAGUUUCACAGCAAGAGCUGCUUAUUCCAACACAAGAUUGUUUUUGCCCCCGCUUCCUGCACACCCCCCCUUCAUUUGCCACAAAAGCGUGACUGCAGGCAGCCUGAAAAAAAAAAAACCAAAACCAUUACCUUUUCCAGAAUUGCAUCUUUUCCCAAAAUAGAAAAAUGCUUCUGAUAGCAAUAAUGCCUUCAUGGCAAAUAUAUAACCAAGGUGUUAUUCAAGGCAGGAAAGCUACCAGAAAACAUAUUAGCUUAGCUUCAGAAGUACAUUUACUUAUCACUAACACAGAAUUUGCAAAGAGCCCCUGCUAUUAUCUUUCCCAUACAACUAUCACAAGUGGUAACAUGACCCAAAAAAAAGUUAAUGAAAAAAACCUCAGGAGAAAUUAAGUUAAUAUUUUGAUCACAACAUCUAGCUUGUUGUUAAACAAAGGAAGAAAAUAAUUUUUUAAAAAAUGGGAAAAAAUUAAGAAAUCUAACUAGCCCUGUACAGCAAAUGUUUUCUUCUGUCCACUCUGAAGUCUCUUUCAUGUGCUAAUGGUGGCAUUUUUUUAAACUCUUCCCCUUUGACUUACUCAGACCUUUAAGGACCUCACACAUCUAAUGGUUCCUCACAUUCACCAAGAACAAUCAAGAGAGGUCUGGGGGUUGACAUGCAGUAUGAUUAAUGGACAAUGUUGAUUUAAUUUCCUAUAACAGGAGUUUUCUCUAAGCUUUCUCCAAGGAGCAGUUUUUUGCAAUCCAGGACUUAAGUAUUUUACUAAUGAAGUCCAAUAAAUAGCAAAUUAAAUAAUGCUGUCUCCCAGAGACAAAUCCUCCCAUUUCAGGAAAAAAAAAGAAAGAAAGAAAAAAAACCACACCAGCAAAACCAACCACCGUAUUUAAAGUUCUGUUCAAAUCUAAAAAACGUUGUAUAGCAGGAAUGUACAUAGUUGUUGGGGGCUUUUUUGUUUGGUUUAUUUUGUUGUUUUGUUUAAGAAACUUGAGCAAUUAUCUGGUCAUUCCUGCCACUGUCAACUGCUUGCUCUUUUUUCUCUUUAAAGCGAGUACACAUUUAACUUAAUUUCCACUUCCAAGACAUUAGUCUGUCUUUAUUAGUCCCUUUUACAUUAUAGCUAUAAAAAUGCAUACUCAUUGUAAUACUUACAAACAUUUUAAAAGCAACUUUGAGGGUUUUUAUUUAAAAUAAUUUACAACUUUCUUGAUGUAAAAAGUGAUCAAUAUGUCCUUUUCACAAAGCAAAUUUUAACCUUCAGCUCCAACAAACGAACAAUGAAACACUAUUUGCAUACAUCCUAACUGUUACUCAAUCAACAUGACACAAUUUCCCAACUGAAUUCCCACACAGGUUUAGCUUUAAAUGGUGGAAUUUCUACCCUGAGAACGCAGGCAGCAGAGAGCAUUUCCUGCAAGAUUCUAAUCGCUUUCCCACCACUGAAAAUUUUACCUUUAAAUACUUUGAAGAUGACAUAUUUUGCUUUAUUAUAGUUAUCUUGCCAGAGUGCAAAAAAUCUCCCCCUCCUAUUCCAAGGCUUUGCGGCACUCUUGAUUCCAGUUCUUCAGCUUGUGACACAACUAGUCUGAUGUCCUGAGAGAAAAAACUGCAUCUGAUUCAGUUAUGGUGACAGUUGAUAAAGAGACAGAAAGUCUCAAAACCAGGCAGCAACCCUCCAUGCUAGUGGAGUUGGCCCAUGCAACAUUACCUCUCCUGUUCCCAUAGUAAAGCCUGCAUCUUUGCAUUUUUACCUUUAAAAUUGAUACAAGGCGUUGUCCCGUGAAAUAAUGAAACUUCCCUCAUCCUGACGGCUCCCGCUAUCUCUUUAGAGAGCCAGGCUUAACUGGUCUUAGCACUCUAUUUUGUUUUUUGAAGUACAGUACAUUCAAUCUUUAUUCUGCACUUGGGUAUCUCCUCCCUCACCAUGUCCUUCCCCUUUACAGAGUCACUAGCUUGGGAAGUUAAAAUUAAUUACUGCAAAAGUCAAGACAUGUUUAAAUAAGGAUCUCAGGACUAUUUUCCCAGAUAAACGGGUUCAAACUGGAACAGUUCAGAGAACACAUUCAAGAAGGUUACAUAAAAAUAUAUUAGGCAAUCCUUCCAACACACAACCCACCUGUUUCUGAAAGAUCUUAACUAUCUAAGAGAGCAAGAAUGUAUCUUUCUGACCCAAGAUUAGGUGCUUAGCAUGUAGAAAAUUUAAUAAUUUUCCAUGAGUUUUAGGGCCAUUUUAAGACUCUGCAGUUAAUUCAAAGAAAGCCUAGAGAUUCCUCUUACUAAGUGUCUGUCAUAUGCAACAUUUUAAUCAGCACCAAAACUAGUUAUGCUGCUAAUGCAGAUGUAACAGAUUUCAGUAUUCCAGCGCCUACGAAAGUUGAUUACUGGCUAAAUCAGUAAACUAUUGAGAGGCUUGAUGGCGUAACUUAAAAUUGACAAAUGCAUUAAACAUUAAUUAAAGCUUUCCAUUACAAAUGAACUCUGUGAAAAUGACGUUUACUUUCAAAAAACGAGAACAUGCACAGAAGUAACUGAGAUAAGAAUUAAAAAAAAAUUGAUAAUCCAAUUUCUCUAAUAGAAACACACUUAAAUGCCGUCAGAAAUAAUACAUGACAAAGUAAUCUUUUCUCUUUUUUAAGAGCACAAAGUAAAGUGAAAAUAUGUAAUUAUGACACAAAUCUGCUAUAGUGCACAGAGCAAGAGCAAUAAUGGCCGAACUACACAGGAAGGAAGGCACUACAUUUUUACAGAUGUGGCACUUGAACUGCAUAAUAAGCGUGCAGCAUUAGCAGCUGAUAGUUAACUGGCCUCUCCUCAGCAAAUCUGCUCAGAACAAGCUGAUAUUUAUCUAGGAUUCCCACUCAGUCGUGUGUAAGAGUGCUUAAAUAAAGCUGAGCCAAAGACACAGUUGUAAUGGAUGCCAUGCCCCUAAGCUCUAACAAAGGGCCACAUAGUUAAACACGAGCUUCAGUUUUGCUCAGUAAAAAUUCAAUUUACAACCUGAGUGAAUCAAUUUUUCAUCUGAACAGAGCAGUUUAGUAUUUUUCUUCCAUAAGGAAGGCAUGAACCAAGUAGGCAAGUCUGCAAAUCAGUUUGUCUGGUCACCUCACAUCAGUAUAUUUGCACUGUGCAACCUCCUGAUAUUCCCUGCUCGCUUGUUCUAGUACAUAUCAAGCUGCACAGGGACCAACAAGUAGAUAAUCAGAAACACUGCACAAGACAGAGGUUUGAUUCCUUCCCUGCCUCUGCCACUCAACCUAGUUCUUGUACAAGCAAGAACACGGAAUCUAAAAGGAGCUCUCUGCUACAAACAUAUCUAGAGAAAUUACUAGCACUGACGUACAUUGGAAACAAAACAUGAGGUGACUGUUUGUAAAUGCCAACAACAAAAUAGAAAAAAACCCAGUCUGAUCUCUAUUUACACUUACAGCCUGUUAAAUGCAAUAUGGUUCCUUCUAUAAAAGAAGUAAAAGCUUAUCAAAGCAGUAUUUGCUUUGAUAUUUUGCAGGUAAAAAAAGUUACAGGGUAAUAAAGCCCCCUCCCCUUCACUCUUUUAAUCUGUAAGGGUUUCUCCCCCUCCCCUUUUAAACCCUGAAAGAAAAAAAAAAAAAAAAACAAGGAAAAAAAUGAUAUGCAGAUAUGCCAUGUCUGCAUCUGGAAGACAGGCUCAUUUAGAGUGGUGACAGGUCUGCCUUUCAUGAUUAUGAAGUAAGGAAUGUGUGUCUUGUUUACUGACGUGUAGGGGAAGUGCACUAUCAUACCAGGACUAGGCAAGAGCUCGGGUUUGUUAAGUACAAAUAUACAUAAACCCCCAUGUCUGUGUAAGAGAAAGAGGCCACAGUUAGCUGAGGAAGAGGUUGCUUUUAAACAUGCCCAGUCUGCUUCUAGGGCUUUUGCUUUUAUUCCUGUGCAAUAUGACCAAUUUCUCCUCCCCUCUCUCAGCAAAUCCCUUAUGUUUUAGCUGAUAAGUAGUAGUAGCAAGCCUGUUACACACAAUCAGGAGAAUUGACAGAUAAGAGGUUUAGUUUAAGGAUGUAAUCAGCGUGAGUAAACACUAGACUGACCCAGCUGUAAACAGUGGAAAUAAAUGACAAUAUUUGUCCUGGUCACCUACUGAGCUAUUAGACACUUUUCAGUAUGUAACAAUGUAAAUAUAAUUGCUACAGUAUAUAUAGCAUACAGUCCUAUCAUCUGCUUCUCCAAGCAAGAAAACUGAGCUUUUAGUUGAUCUUUGUUAAGAACUAAAGUAAUUUUUGAUCUUUUUUUUUUUUUUAAACAGAGAUGUAGCUUGUUUAAAUCAACAUUUCAUUAACUGUGAAUGUCUAAUCUAAAAUACCUCAACCAGAAACAGAAUAUGUAUGUAAUACUAGAUGAUAUUUUAUGGAAUGCCAUUUGAAAACC
Molecule: long non-coding RNA, 6911 nt
Organism: Chroicocephalus ridibundus (black-headed gull)
Lineage: Eukaryota; Metazoa; Chordata; Aves; Charadriiformes; Laridae
Exons: 6
Source: RefSeq, a predicted model, not a curated record